RNAcentral lists this ribosomal RNA (342 nucleotides) under uncultured soil bacterium. Its description in RNAcentral is "bacterial SSU rRNA". It matches the Rfam family "Bacterial small subunit ribosomal RNA", at positions 26 to 391 of the family's 1533-position model. The record is from RNAcentral.
AGAACGAACGCUGGCGGCAUGCCUAAUACAUGCAAGUCGAACGAGAUCUUCGCAUCUAGUGGCGCACGGGUGCGUAACGCGUGGGAAUCUGCCCUUGGGUUCGGAAUAACAGUUGGAAACGACUGCUAAUACCGGAUGAUAUCGAAAGAUCAAAGAUUUAUCGCCCAGGGAUGACGCCCGCGUAGGAUUAGCUAGUUGGUGAGGUAAAGGCUCACCAAGGCGACGAUCCUUAGCUGGUCUGAGAGGAUGAUCAGCCACACGUGGGACUGAGACACCGGCCAGACUCCGUACGGGAGCAGCAGGUAGGGAAUAUUAGGACAAGUGGGCACAAGCCUGAUCCAG